This 382-nucleotide unclassified non-coding RNA is filed under the name uncultured fungus. RNAcentral describes it as "sequence contains ITS1". The stretch from base 1 to 107 matches the Rfam family "5.8S ribosomal RNA", at positions 50 to 154 of the family's 154-position model. Lineage: Eukaryota; Fungi. The record is from RNAcentral.
GAAAUGCGAUACUUGGUGUGAAUAGCAGAAUCCCGCGAACCAUCGAGUCUUUGAACGCAAGUUGCGCCCGAAGCCAUUAGGUUGAGGGCACGUCUACUUGGGCGUCUCACGUUGCGUCGCCCGCGCCCUCUCUCCCCCUCUCGAAGGGGGGAAGAAGGUCUGCGGGCGAAUGUUGGCCCCCCUCGUCCACCCGUGCGCGGUCUGCCCAAAAGCGAGUUCCCCGCGACGGACGACACGUCGCGAUGAGUGGUGGUUAACAAACCGUUGCGUCGCCUCGCGCGCGUCCGGGCUGUCUUGGGAGGCCUGUCGUGACCCUAUCGCGCCGCCGCCAAGGAGCUCCGAUCGUGACCCUAGGUCAGGCGGGAUUACCCACUGAGUUUAA